GGGGGGGGGGGGGGGGGGGGGGAGGGGGGGGGGGGCGAAGGGGGGGGCGUGGGGGGGGCGCUGGGGGGGUGGGGGGCGGGCGGGGGGGUAAUACGUGAGUAACCUGCCCUUGACUCUGGGAUAAGCCUGGGAAACUGGGUCUAAUACUGGAUACGACAUGCCACUGCAUGGUGGUGUGUGGAAAGGGUUUUACUGGUUUUGGAUGGGCUCACGGCCUAUCAGCUUGUUGGUGGGGUAAUGGCCCACCAAGGCGACGACGGGUAGCCGGCCUGAGAGGGUGACCGGCCACACUGGGACUGAGACACGGCCCAGACUCCUACGGGAGGCAGCAGUGGGGAAUAUUGCACAAUGGGCGGAAGCCUGAUGCAGCGACGCCGCGUGAGGGAUGACGGCCUUCGGGUUGUAAACCUCUUUCAGCACGGAAGAAGCGAGAGUGACGGUACGUGCAGAAGAAGCGCCGGCUAACUACGUG
RNAcentral lists this ribosomal RNA (472 nucleotides) under uncultured bacterium. Its description in RNAcentral is "partial 16S ribosomal RNA". It matches the Rfam family "Bacterial small subunit ribosomal RNA", at positions 38 to 507 of the family's 1533-position model. The record is from RNAcentral.